AGUCUCAAACUGAAACAUUCAUGUGUUUGUUUAUUUGUUUGGUUUUUUCCUGGGUUUGUUUGAUAUGUUCGAGUUUUUUGUUUUAUUUUUGCAAAUGUUUAGACUAUGUUUUCUUGCUGGUUUGAUGGUUGUUGGGGUUAAGUUUAUGGGUUUUGGGUGUUUAUCGUGUGACGCCAUUGUUAUUCUUGUUAUUAUAGUUAGUUAUUGACGUGUCAGCUUUAUAUGUUUUGAUUCGAUAUGCAUGAUGUAUGAGAACAUUUUACUUGAUAUGCAUAGCGUGUGACAGCAUUUUACUUGAUAUGCAUGGCGUGUGACAACGUUUCACUUGAUAUGCAUGGCGUGUCACAACGUUUUACUUGUUAUGCAUAGUGUGUCAAAACGUUUUACUUGUUAUGCAUGGCGUGUCACAACAUUUAACUUGUUAUACAUGGCGUGUCACAACAUUUUGCUUGCUAUGCAUGGCGUGUCAUAACAUUUAUUCCUUAUUUAUGUCUUCAGUAUACCUUGUUGCAGAUGAUGGCUUAACUCACUGGUGCAUGUGUGCCAUGUUUUGCAGAUCCAGCGCAGACAGUAUGAGGAUCUUGACAGUUUGCUGAUCGUGCCGAGGGAGAAGUGGGCAUUCAACAUUGGAAUUAACACCCACUGUAAGUGGUCGCAGCUGCAUUACAUCACAAAGACUCUCCAACAGAAGGGGGAGUACGAUACAGUUAAACGUACCUGCUUUGGAAUGCUCAUGGACGUCUAUCCACAAGGGUACUUUUGCGUCGAUCUCUUGCAUAUAAUCAUGAUUCGCCGGAUCAGUGAGAGCCAGUCAAUGGACCAUAAGCUAUGGUUUGUCACUGGCAAGAGCAAGGAGUGGCUAUCAAAGUAGGAGUUCUGCCUCAUCACCGGGCUGAAGUUUGGUCCAAUGCUCGAUUUGUUCAGACGAUCGUACGAGGUUGUUGCGAAGGGAAUUCAUGACAGAUACUGAAACGGGCAAGACAACGUGAAGCUGCAGGCUUUGCUUGAUACGUUUCGCGGGGGCAACUUCCAGCGACCAGGAGACGCAACCAAGAUGGCACUCGUUUUGAUCACGAAUAACAUUUUAUUUGGUCAAGACUACCGUAGACUAGUGACGCCUUGGUUGCUGUCAUUGGUGGAGGGCAUCGACACUUGGAAUGUCUUCCCAUGGGGGCACUAUGCUUGGAAGCUGACCUUGGACUACCUUUUGAAGGGGUUAGAAGUGCUUGACUCAAGCGUGACAAAAGAAACUCGAUUACGCUACAACAUUUACGGAUUCGUAUUGGUGAUACAGGUACUAUCACGUAACAUUUUUCAGUUUUCUUUGAAAAAAAAAGUUAUGGGUGCACUCGUUUAUGAUAUACAGUCUGAUAAUGGUUACAUUUGACAUGCAGUUCUGGGCAAUGGAGGCAAUUUCAAUCCUAAAAAAAAUAAUUACCCCCUAUGGUCUGAAGAACAACGCCUACCCACGAAUGUGCAAAUGGGAUUGCAAUCAGAAGCCAAAAGACUUCUACAAGGCAAUUCAGAAGUUAGAGUAAUCUGACGAUGUGAGUGAACAGCUGCUAAUUUUUUAGUUAUAUUUGUAUAAUAAUUUUCUCUAUUCGAUAAUGACAACAUUUUAUUUGUUUAUUUGCAAUUGUGGGCACUAGAGACGUUGGAACCCACUGCGAAUGAGGCCCUCCGGGAGUAUUUUAUGGACCUUGAUGUCCCGUUAUUGGAGGGCCACGAGUACGUGCCAAUAGGGCACAUGGAAGAUAGGUCUGAUUGGGGCUUAGGUGCGAGGCAAAAAAGAGAAGCUUGAAGGAGAAAAGAGCCUCUGGUGGCACGAAGCGGAUGCGCAUCAUCGCUGCUUUAGUUGAUGAGCUAUCGGGCCCUAAGUUGAUGGACGAAGGGGAAAACCAUGGUCAAGGCAGUAAACAGCCGGUAAGGACAAUUGUAAUGAUUUUGUGUUCUCCAAUUCCAUAUGUGAUUAUCGAAUAACAUUUCUGUGUUUGCAGUUGGACCAUAUGUCAGCAGCUCCAGAAGCACCCACCGAUCCUCCUCAGACGCAUAGUGAAAACGACCCGUUAGUAAGAUCGAUUCUAACGGUUUGUGUUUUACAUUUCCACAUUUGUUUAUCGAGUAACACAGUAAUUUCUAUAAUUGCAGUUUACGAAAGCGACGACAAGUCCUCAAGCACCAAUCGAUUCGGCUUAACCGCAGACAACUAACGAGCCGACGGUAAGGAUAUUAAAGUUAUAACGGUUAAUGUUCAACAAUUCUAUACAUGAUUAUUGAAUAACACAGUUAUAUAUGUAAUUGCAGUUUGUGGAAGCAACGACUGGUCCUCAAGCACCGAGCGAUCCGGCUCCACCGCAGACUGCUAACGAGCCGUCGGUUAGGAUAUUAAAGUUGUAACGGUUAAUAUUUAACAAUUCCAUAUAUAAUUAUUGAAUAACACAGUUAUAUAUGUUAUUGCAGUUGACCUAGUCGAGAAUAGUCAAUGAUGGAGCAGUCACUACCCGCCAGUUUCGAUGGAUCAUGCGCAAGCAUGAAAAAGAGAUGUCGGAGCUGAAGGCGUUAAUUCAGUCAAUGAGUCUAGCAAUGCAGACGCUUGAGGACCGUAUCGUUGCUCGGAUUCUUGACGGCCUUAAAUCACAAGUACGUUGUUUUAUCUUUACUUGUAUUUUGAUGGUUUACAUUUAGCAACUGUUUAGAUUGUGUUUUCUUACUGGUUUGAUGGUUUUUUAGGUUAAGUGGUAGUGGUUUAACUAGUUUUUGGUCAUUAGCGGGUUAGGACAUUUGUAUUAAAGUUAGUUAUUGCUGUGUCAGCCUUAGCGUGUGACAACAUUUGAUUUGAUAUGCAUGGCAUGUCAAAACAUUUAACUUGUUAUUCAUGGCAUGUUAGAACGUUUGAUUUGAUAUGCAUGGCGUGUCAGAACAUUUUGGUUGUUAUCUUUGGCUUGUCACAACAAUUUGCUUGUUAUGGAUGGCAUGUCACAACGUUUAACUUGUUAUGCAUGGCGUGUCACAACAAUUUACUUGUUAUGGAUGGCGUGUCACAUCAUUUUGCUUGUUAUGCAUGGCGUGUGACAGCAUUUUACUUGAUAUGCAUGGUGUGUCACAACAUUUUACUUGAUAUGCGUAGCGUGUCACAACAUUUUACUCUUUAUGGUUUGUGGUAUUUUAUGAGCUAAUUAACGGUUUUUCCCAUUUUGUAGGGCGGUCCAUCUCACGGUGCUGGUCUGGAGCAUGAUGAUGCUGAUGAUGGACAACAUCAUGAACCUAGUGUUGACAUUGACGAUGACGUUCUUAAUGCUAACGGAGAGCACAUAACUCAUGCCGAUGACGUCGUCGAUGAAGCUGUGGCAGUGGAUGUCACCCUUCAAUUAUAUGAUGCUAAAGGAGAGCAUGUUCUUGUGCUCGAGUCCAUUAUCGAUCCAUCUGCUGGAAGGGAUGAGGAGCCUGACUCAAUCAUGGCUGAAUGAGAGCAUCUUCCUCCGGUCGAUGCAUUCAUCGACGUAGCAGCAGGAGCUAUCAUUCUUUAUCGUGGGAGCACUCUUGAUGCAAUUGAGAUACGGUCGUCGUCACCAAAGUCAUUUGCUAUCCAUCAUGGUGCAGCAAAAAUUUCAGACCCAACUGAGCGAGCACAGCUGAAAAUGGCUAGCAAAUACAUGGCAAGCCUGUUCAUCGACCCCUUAGUGACUCGUCGAGAUGUGAGGGAUAAAAUCGUAGAAGACUACGAAGCUUUCAAGAAAGACGAGUCCAUGAGGUAAGAAACAUAAAUAACAUUGCAAAUAUUAUUUUUUAAUGAAACAUUAAUCCACCACGACUUAUGAAAUUCAUUAUGUUACAUAUGCAGGCAUAACGUCGGCAUUUUAAGGGAUAAAGGGGCUGACUUUUUCAUAACCUUAGAGAAUCCCAAUGAGGAAAUGACAAGUGAACAUAUCGACGCAUGCCUCAGCCUACUCUGCAAGCGAAUGAUAGGGCCGAAGUCGAAGCUGUACACUACCCAUGCAUGCGUGGUUGACACGAUAUUCUUAGUAAGUUUAUUUGAAAAUUGUUCAAUUCUACAAAUACUAAGUUUUUGAUUGCAUGAAGUGUAAGCUAAUAUUUACAUGUUUCACAAGACACCAUUCGUAUAUUACACAUGGAAUUUCCAACAGAAGAUGCCCGGGCCACAAUGCAAAUUCCAGAUGAGUUGCGGAGAUAUGUGGAGGGUGAAAGGUCGACAUACUCCAAAAAAUGGGAAGAUGUGGAUUUCAUCCUCGCGCCUUGCAACGUUGGUGGGCAUUAGGUGGUUGCGAAGAUCAACUUGGUGAAGUGGACGAUCAAGGUGGUGGACUCCGCAAGAACUUUGGAUGCUGAGGAUAACGGAGUUCAUGUAGGUCAGAUGACACCCUUGACGACAAUGAUGCCAUUCAUCUACCAACAAGCCGGUUAUUUCAAUAACAUACGUCGAAAGAGACGGGAUUUAAAGCCGAUGCCAUUGGAUAUUCAUUUGCCAAAAGCUAAAGUGUAUUGGCAGAAUGAUAGUGUCAGCUGCGGUAUGUUCAUGAUAGGGUACAUGGACCAUAUUUUGCAAUAAGAAAAGAUCGGAGUUUGGCAGAAUAUGAUUGCAAAAAUGCAUCGACAAUAUGCUCUAGAAAUUUUUUUCAACAGUUGUGAGAGCAAACCUUGAACAUAUCGGCCCUUGUCUACACAAUUUUUUUGUAUACAAAAUUUUUUUUAUACAAUUAAUUUUAUACACAUUUUUUGUAUACACAAUUUAUUUUAUACAAUUCAUUGUAAACAGAAUUAAUUCUUUUUGUAUACACAAUAUACUUUAUACAAUUAUUUUAUACACAAUUAAUUUUUUUGACUAUACAUAAUUAAUUUGAUACUAUCGAAUUUUUUUCCUUUUCUAUACACAAUAUAUUUAAUUUGAUACACAGUCGCAAGAAGUCAGCGUGUGAUGCCAUAAAUAUGCUACCACUCAGCAUGUCCCCACAUACAUUUGCUUGCACUCAGCGUGUCACCCUCAUAAAUUUGCAAAAAGUCAGCUUGUGAUGCCGUAAAUCAACUAACACUCAGCGUGUUAGUAGUGUCAGUCGAUAAAUCUGCUUCCACUCAGCGUGUCAGCCCAUAAAUCUGCUUCCACUCAGCAUGUUAGCCCAUAAAUCUGCUUUCACUUAGUGUGUCAGAACAAUUAGGUCGUGUCGUGUCACUCCAUUAAUCUCCAGAUACUCAGCGUGUGACGUCGUAAAUCCACUAACACUCAACGUGUCAGCCAAUAAAUUUACAUUCACUCAGCAUGUCACACCAUAAAUCUUCAGAUACUCAGCGUGUGACGCCAUUAAUCUGCUUCCAUUUGGCGUGUCAUAAGAAUUGGGCCGUCGCGUGUGACCCCACGAUACUGUACCAAGUCUGCCGUGUCACACCAUAAAUCUACUUGCACUCAGUGGGUCACGACUGUGAAACAUCAGGGUUAAGAAUAUAUGACACGCCACGGUUACAAUAUGUGACAAGACUGUGACACGCCAUUGCUUGAACAGCUGACACGCCAUGGUAACCGUUGCGUGUCACAACGUUUAACUUCUUAUGCAUGGCGUGUCAGAACAAUUUACUUGUUAUGCAUGGCGGGUCAGAACAAUUUAAUUGUUAUGCAUGGCGUGUCAGAACAAUAUACUUGUUAUGCAUGGCGUGUCAUAACGUUUAACUUCUUAUGCAUGGCGUGUCAUAACAUUUUGCUUGUUAUGCAUAGCGUGUCACAAUAUUUUACUUGAUAUGCACGACGUGUCACAACAUUUAACUUGUUUUGCAUGACGUGUCUCACAUUUAUUCCUUAUUUAUUUCUUCUGUAUACCUUGUGCACAUUAUGGCUUAACUCAUUGGUGCAUUUGUACCAUGUUUUGCAGAUCCAAUGCAUACAGUAUGAGGAUCUUGACAUUUUGCCUCACCAAGAGAUGAAGGAGUUCAUGCAGUGAAGCGUACAUUUUUGGGAUGCUCCUUGAGGUCAAUCCACAAGCUUGGUCUAUCAAACUUUGACCUUGUUUGCACGGUUGAGUUGAAUGUAGCCCGGUAUAGUUUUCCUAGUACCCCAAGGGAAGCAUACAUGGGUUUGUCAACCUUCUGCAUGAAGUUUGGAAACUCCCUUGGUUUCAAGGAUCGAGCCAUCUCAGUUGGUGCUGCUGUCUUUGCAAAAUCAACAGCCAUAGAGUGAAGAGUUGCCAAUUCUAGGCUGGAUCGAGACCUCGAAUCAUGGACCUAGAAUUGGCAACUCUUCACUCUAUGGCUAUUGAUUUUGCAAAGACAGCAGCACCAACUAAGAUGGCUCGAUCCUUGAAACCAAGGGAGUUUCCAAACUUCAUGUAGAAGAUUGACAAACCCAAGUAUGCUUCCUUUGGGAUACUAGGAAAACUGUAUUAGGCUACAAUCAACUCAACCGUGCAAGCAAGGUCAAAGUUUGAUAGACAAAGCUUGUGGAUAGACAUAUAGGAGCAUCACGAAGCACGUAGGCUUCACUGCAUUAUACUCUCCUAUCUCUUUGAGAGUCUUUGUGAUGUAAUGCAGCUGCCACCACUUACAGUGAGUUUUAAUAUUGAGUAUUGAUAAGCAUAUGAGAGCCAGAAACCCCAAAUUAAAAUAUCAGGUUAGUUUGCCUAAGAUGCCAAGUCUGCAUGCACUCAGUGUGUCACCACAAGACUUGCAGUAAAAACAUAAACGGUUAAAUCAAAUGAAAUAGAAGGGAAUUAAAUCAAAUCAUUAAUUAUUUGAUACAAGUGGUAAUAAAAUGUGACAAAUGGGGUAACAGUAUAGGGACUUAAUCUCUUAAUAUUGGCAGCCAUUCCAUGCUUGUUGUUCCUUCAUAAGAUUUGUGUAGCCACUUGUACUUAAUGUUGUCAUUAUAGUUGAUUUCGUUUUGCUUCACGAAUUUGUCUGCUCGGUCAUUCUAUGAGCCACUUUUAGUUACAGACUUUGUUACCAAACAUUUCAGGCAGAUAAACUUGUCAAGGCUCCUGUCUGAUGGAGAAUGUAAUCGGAACAUUCUUACAAACAAUGUAAGAAUGUACUUUAACACAAUCUUGAUUAGACAGAGGCCUUGAUAGGCUUAUCUGCUUGAAAUGUUUGGCAACAAAGUCCAUAACUAAAAGUGGCUCAUAGAAUGACCGAGCAGACAAAUUCGUAAAGCAAAACGAAAUCAACUAUAAUUUUCAGACACAUUUAGUUAGGCGAACAAGCUGUCUUCAUCCACAACACACACUACAUUUUCAGACAUUGUCCUUUGUAUUUGACAGUUGUUACGUGUGUGACUGGUUUGUUUGCAACUUGAACAUGCUUUGGGUCGACGCAGUCGUGGAGACGCCGAUUGACUUGGAGAUGGUGACGAAUUUGUGGAUAGAACUACAAAUGGGGAUGGGCAGUUCUGUCUAUUAUGCCCGUUCCUCUUGCAUUGCAAAAAUCUCCGUGCUCAACUGCCUUCGCCUUCACCAGCUAAUGGAAUCCUUCUCCUCCUAAGUCUUCCCGCUUGGCCUCGCCAAGGUGGGGGUAAGACGAUAAUUUCUUUCACAUGAGGGGGGAUGUCCCACUCACUAGGAUGCAUUACCGGCCUAAUGGAUCCUGAAUAACCAUCCACCAAAACGGUUGUCUUGUAAUAGUCAGCACAUAAUUCAAUGGCUUCACAAUUGCAUUUACUGAAAAACACAAUAAACUCAAUCUUCAAGCACAAUGUAAAUGCUAUGUCAAUUACGGUUCAAAUAAGAAAUAAAUAUAUUCUGACCUUAUUGCUGCAAUGGUAUGGCUGCAUGGCAGUAAAUCUGUUUAGAACUCAUAACAUGAACACGUCUUUCUGGACAGGUUUGCAAGUCCGUCCAUCUUCCUGUCUUUAACUUCGAACUCCGCUCGAUUGAUAGGCUUAACUAGAAAGCGAUGUGCAUCAUUGAACCUUUUGCUCAACUGCCUAGCAACCCAAGGGUUGAGGGGGGGUCACCUUGACGGCCUCCUCGUACCGAUCAUGGAACCAACGCUGGAACAUGUCUUUGAUGAACUCAAUCAAAACAGUGAUCGACAUUUGUUUUGCAUGCUUCAAGCAUGAGUUAACACAUUCCACAAUGUUGGAUGUCAUCAUUUGGUAUCGCUUUGCCGGUGAACAUGCACGUGCCCAUUUCUCAAGCCCUAUUCUCAUAAGGUUCGCAUGGGCUCCCAAGUGAAUAUGUUGUAUCUGGUUCAUAUGUCUGUUGAAAUCGACCACCUUAUAGCAAUCUCGAGCAAGGGUGAAAAGCAUACAAAUAUCGUCGCGCUUGAACUUGUUUUUAAUUUUUUUUUUUCAAGUGGUAAUCGCAUAAACCAUGGUGUGCUUCUGGGUAUGCAUUUUGGAUUGCUUUCUUAAUGCCUAGAUGCUGAUAAAAAAUGAACAUAGUCUUUUCAGGACAACCAACCGCAUCACGCAGCUUGCUAAGAAACCACAUCCACGAGUCUUCGUCCUCAACAUGGCCGAUGCCAAACACAACUGGAUAUACGCACUCGUUCGCAUAUUUGCAUACAGCGACAAACAGAACACCCUUGAACCUGUUUUUGAGAUGUGUCACAUCAAUUGCAACCGUAGGACAUUUUACAUCCAUAAACCCCCGAAUACAAGCCUCGUAUGACCAUAAACAAUAUUUGAAUCUCUCUUCCUCAUCAAUAGUCACUGUAGUCACUGUGCCAGGAUUUUCUUAUUCCAACAUAUAAAAAUACGAUGGUAGUAGCUGAAAUGACUCCUCUAGUGGAUCAAAAACAAGCCUCUCCGCAUACUCCUUCGCUUGCCAAGCCUUACCAUACAAGCAUUCCAAUCCCCAUUGAACUCUCAUCUCACAAAUUAUGUCCUUAGGUCUCAAUGCUACUCCAUUAGCCCGAAGCUUGUGUGACAUAAGUUCACCAAUCAUCUUCGCACUCGUAGUUGCAAAUCGCUUUUGCAAACCAUCAACAGUACAGGUGUGUACUUUAUGGAAUGUCAGAACUUGCCAAUAUUAUCCUCUAUCAGGUAACUUCGUUGCACGAAUACUAAACUUGCAUGCCUUGUCCUUGCAACCAACCUCGUAACGAGCUUUACAUGACCUUUUUACUCUUAUCGCAAACUUCUAUUUUAUAACCAACAUGUUCAAAGCUCGUUUCAACUCAGCUUUCGGGAAAACAUUUUUCCUUUGUAUAAGCGAUCUUCUGCACAUGUCGACUCCUCAGUGGUAAUUGUUUAGAAGGAGAAUCUUUCUACACCUGUAAUUACCCACAUACGAGAUAUCCCUACAUUUUCGCUUUCCUGAUCACUGUCAUCGAACAAUGUAUUAAGGGAACGAAUCCCGUUCUCACCAGUGAUGGGGUUAUUGUAUAUUGGGCCAUCACACUAAACAUUUCCUACAUCAACAUCUCCAACAGGUUCCGUUUCGCCUUCAACAUUAUUACAAAUUGGAAUGUCACUAUCAUAAAAGUAGUCAUCGUCUGAAUUGUCAUCUUGCCAUUGUUCAAGCCCAUCAUCUGAAGUGUCAUCAAAUCUAUCUUCAUUGGCAGCGAACAAAUCCUCAUUUCCCUCAUCAAAUGCAGUAUUAUCCUCCAGCGUUGCAGUGUCACCCUCCAACCUCACAUUGUUGUCCUCAACUGUCGUAUUCUCAUUUGACAAUGGCAUUACACACUGUACAGUUUCACCCGAUCGUUGCAUUUGUUUAAGAGAAGCAAGAAAUUGGUUUGAUGCACAUCCUAAUCGGAAUUGUGCAGCCAACUGUUCUGUGAAUGUCGUUGGUCUACCGGGCUGCACAAACUCUUAUGCAUACCUCAAUUGCCAUUGUUGUGGGUUACGAACCAAAUGCUGUGGUAUAUGUGAAGCAUUGUAAAUCUCAUUUUGAUUGAGCUGAUUACCAUGUUGUCCAACUUCUUCAUGUGACAUAAUGUUUGUUUGGCGUCCCUUAAUGCUAACAUACACAGUCGGAACAUUCCUCUGUUCUAGCAAAAUUAAUGUAACAUCCUCAUCGUCCUUGAUAAUUGGCCGUAAUAGCUCUCCGGGUGUACUGGUCAAUGCAUGUAACUCAAUCUCAUCAAUUUUUGAGUUUACCCCAACAACAUUUUCAACCAGCUUCAUCAAGCCCACAAACGAUAAAUCACUCCUAACCCAUCGCAUUCGUGACUCACCACCCUUGUAAAUGUUGUCCACCUACUGACCACCGUGUCUUAUCAUAAGUCGCACAAUUGGAACCCCACUGAAAUUUUGAAAAAAAAAAUUAUUGUUAAUCAUUUUACACAAUACAUGCCGUGAUAAAAAAUUUAUCAGUUGUGUUGUUACACGCCAUGCAUAUAUAGUAAAAUGUUGUAACACACCAUGCAUAUCAAGUCAAAUGUCGUGACACGCCAUGCAUCAGUAUCGUGACAUGCCAUGCAUCACUGUUGUGACACGCCAUGCAUCACUCUUGUGACACGCCAAUCAUUGUAAUUACUGACUCAUUACACCAACAGCCGUGACACGCUAAAAACCCAAAAAACUAGUUAACCCACGAUAUGUCAGGAACAGUUGUGACACGCUAAAAACCCAAAAAACUAGUUAACCCACGAUACGCCAGGAACAACCGUGACACGUCAAAAACCCAUAAAUUCAGUUAACCCACGACACGCCAAGAACAGCCGUGACACGCUAACAACCCAAAAGACUAGUUAACCCACAACACGCCAGGAACAACCUUGACAUACUAAAAUAACUCUAACACAUGUUAUAGAUGCAUGAUGUGUAACAACUCUGGGCAAUAUUUCCAAACCAUCUUUUAAUUUACACCAAAUGUUUCAGAAAUUUAAGUCUGUUGCAGAAAUAAACCCAAUAACAGGUACCUUGAUGUCAUCUCUGCUAUAGGGUCUGUUAAUCUAUGACAAUGUGGCCAAAUGCCGAGAGAUAGACCAUAGCCCGAUGACGAUGGUGCUCAAUAGAGACUUGCCAAAGUUGAGACAACUCAGAGAGUUGUGAGAGAAAGAUGACCGAGCCUAAACAGUUGCACGCAUUUAUUUAUUUUUUUCUAUUUUCUCUCCGGCGGGAGGCAGAUAGCUCAAACAGUUGAGCAUUUAUUUGAAACGAUAUUUUUAAGGGCAUUUUGGUAUACUCAUGCUUAUUUUUGGCUAGAAACAAAUAACUUUAUAUGAGUGGUUAUUUCUGAAAUCACCUUAUCACGAUGUCCUUUUCUCAUAAUAUCCUCUAAUUAUUAUGUAGUUUGAUUUAUGGGAUGAAAUAAAAUAAUAAUUGUUAUCAUAAAUUAUUAUAAUGUUUGGUUGGCAAUAAUAGUUUCGAGAAUAGCUAAGGAAUAAGUAAUAAAUGAUAAGAAUACUCUUCAUUAUAAUAUUUAAUUUUUAAAUUAAAAUAUUUAUUAUUUUAAUAAUUUAUUAAAAAUAUUAAUAAAUUAUUAUUUGAAUUUUAAUAUGAUUAUUUGUUUUAAUUUAUAAAAUAUUAAUAAUUUGUAAUUAAAACAUUCACAUUAUUAUUUUAUUUUUUUAUCUUUAACAUAUUAAUAUAUUACAAAUUUAUAAUUAAAAUUUUAAUUUAAUUUUUAAAUUUAAAAUAAUAACUUUUUAUAAUUUAAAUUAAAACUUAAACCUUUUUAUUUAAAUUCUUUUUAAUUAUUUCUUUUUUACUUUUUUUCUUUCUUUUCGUUGACCGGCCACUAAAGAUGUGGCUACUCGGCAUAAGAGAGCAUCGAUAUGUGCUCCCUAUGGCACGAUCAAUCUAGGGAUCGCUAAAUCAGCACUCCUCGUGAUCGAAUCUAGUCGUGAGUGCUAGAUUCAGUUGCAAAAUCUAGCUGAGAAGCGCCAAAUCCUAUGUUUCCCACGAUUGGUUUGGCUGAUGAGCACUUGAUGGGCAUUUCCCGUGACCUACACUGGUGUUGCCAUCGUCGUCGUCACUAGCCUUUGGUGGUAGAGGGAAUGUAGAGAGAGAAGGAGAGAGGAAGAAGAUGGGUAGAGUAAAAAAACCUUGAGAAAUGAAAAUAUUUUAUAUUAUAUAUGAGUAAUUUUUAAAAUUUUAAUAAGGUAUUUUCUUCCAAUUGAAUUUUUUUUUUUAUUCCCACCAGUCCAGAAUAGUUAUUAUUGAGGGAAGGUUCGGUAAUGGUUAUUCCAAAUCCUCUUGAAAUGACUAUUUCAAAGAAUAGGCAUUUCAUUGAACCAAAUAAAUAUUGAAGUUAGUAAUAGAAAUAAAGAUGGAAUGACUAUUCCAUUCCCCUAACUAAGUUUUCAAUUGUGAAGCAACACUAUAAUCAGCUAUAGGAAGGGGAUGGAUUGAUAAAAAAGAAAAGUAUUUUUUUAAGAGUUUUUUUUAGUGUUUGGUAUGAGAGAAGUGAGAGCAUAUUUCUUGUAAUGUUUCCAAUUAAAUGACAUUGCAGUGUUUGUUUUGUAACAAACCACUACAAUGUAAGAUUACAAUGUAAUCACAUUACAACAAUAUGAUUGCAGUCCAAAAUCAAUACAAUUAGAUUGCAUUGCUUUCUGUAAUAUUUUUACCUUUCAACUUUGCUACUUUAUUAAAAACAUUUUGCAAUGUUAUAAUUUAUUUUUAAUAUAUAGAUUUCAUGGGAUUUCUUUUUAUUAUUCUUAGUACUCAUGGUGACUGUCAAUAAAAUUUAUAUUUUUUUUAAAGGAAAAGAAGUUAAAAUAAAAUAUAUAAUAUAAAAAAUUAUAUUAAGAAAUGAAAAUAAAAUAUAUAAAAUUAUAAUAAGAAAUAAAAAUAAAAUAUAGAAUAUAGAAUAUUAAAAAUAUAUUUAAGAGAUGAUAUUAUAUAAAAAUUAAUAAUAAAAAAUAUAAGUAUAUUAAACUUGCAUUUUAGUUAAUAAGAGUAAUUCUAGAAAUUGACAUUAUAGUUUAAGCAAAAUACUUUGAAAACAAAUGUUACAAUAUUAUCUUCCCUGUAUUUUAAUCAUUACUUUGCUUAAGUACAAAACAUUGCAAUAUUAUCUUCUCUAUAAUCAUAUUACUUGUAAUCAUAUUAUCCGUAAUUAUAUUAAAUCGUAAAAUAUCAAACGCCAUCUAAAUCUCUUGUGACUUCUUUCUCAAUAUCAGUGGCAUCGUCAAACAAGCUUGGAUUGUCCAUCGUUAUAGUUUUGAAGGUUUCUUUAUAUCAUCUUUUGGAAAAAGAGUUUUGGCAAAUUAUUGACUAAGGCUGGAGAUUGUAUUACAAAUUUAAAAGAAGUGAAAGGAACAAUUUCACUUAGAGAAUGAUUAUUAUUUCUCUUUAACAUAAAAAUUAAUAUAAAUUUGCACAGAUAAAUCAACAUGUUUGCGGCACAUGAUGUGACAUAAAAUUAGCAAUUGUAUCAUUAACUAAUGAAAGUUAGUCGAUAAUUAGUGAGAGGGGUUUAUUUGGUCUAAAAUAAAAGUUUAGGGGUUUAUUUGAAUAUAAUAAAAAGAUAGAGACUUAAUUAAAUUUUUAAUAUAAUUCAAGAAUUUAUUUAAGUAUUUAACGUUUACUUAAUUAAAAAAAAAUAAUUUACAAGUUAUUAUAACAAAAGCUUCCGGCCCAAGCAGUCAAAGGUCCAUUAAGCUCCUUUGCCAGCUUACAGGGCAGGCUUCCCAUCGAAGAACCAUUCUGCAAAGUGCUUAUGUACUCCACCUCAAUCCCAAAGGGGACCAAAGGACAAUAUCAAAAUAUAUAUCUCUGUUUCAGUCGAGCACUUCAAGUUUAACUCCCCGCGAACGCAAUUUGAACUAAUCAUUCUACUCAGGAACUUUUUCGAUCACACCGUUCCUUUUUCGGGUUUACCAGAUUUAUGGAGGUGAGUCUUCAAUUCCUAUCCAUAAUUAAAUUAAAUUUCCGGGUUUUUGGAGAGAAAAUAAUUUUUUGACUUACUAUUUUCUUAUUUUGGCUGUUAUGUGUUUAGCAACGUUGGAACUGUUUUGGACUGUGAUCGAAGUAAUGAUGGAUGUUUUCAAUUGGGACGGCACCGUGUCUGCAAAGGAUUUCAGAAUUGGUGCUCUCUCAUUUGCUCAGAAAUGGGAAAGUCUUAAUUCUGCUUUUCCUCCAUGGUCUUGGGUUCCUUGUCCUAAGCACCCUUGGCUUGCUUCUCCUGAGGUUACUCUUCUCAAUCUUUUUUAAGCAAUUAUUGUCUUAAAAUAACUUAAUGCCUUGUAUUUGGAUUCAACUUAUUUUUAGCUUUUCCAGGAGGAGGGAUACUUGUCACUGGAAAAUAUAUGCAUUUCCAGGCCAUAUGAGGUCCGGUUUUAGAUUUAAUGCAUUAUAUUUGAAUAUUUAAAACAAUGCUUAUGUUUUCUUCUUCUUUUUUUUUCUUUUUUCUGUUGGGUGCAGGUAGAUAUUGAUCAAAAUAGUCAAACUGACCCUGGGGAAGAAGAGACCAGUUGCUCUGAGAAAGAAGAUGAUAUUGACGAUGCCACAUUGGUAUAUACAUUUUGGACUAUUUUUUGAGUUAUUUAGCCUACACUGAGUGUAAAAAAUGUGCGACUUGGGAGCAAACAUGGAUUUACAAAUGAAAGUUGUGUUUUAUUGUUCCACUGCCUGUUAGUUUUUUGUCUGACUUUAAUCAUGUUCAUGUUCUUUUGCUAGGUCCAAAGCAAUCAUCAUGAAUUGCAUUACUGUGACUUCCAUAUAGUAUACAGUUAUACAUUUAGGGUUCCGGUGCUAUAUUUACGUGCUUACUGCAGUGGUAAGUUCACCCAGCCACUUCCUCCCUCAUGGAAGCAAUUAUAUUAGGAAAUUUUGUGUCAGCUUGUGGUAUAACAUAUAUGGUGACAUAAUUUAGCUCAUCUAUACAUUUCACAGUUUGAACUUUUAGAUCAGAUAUUAGGCUGAUGUGGCUGGAAGUCCAAACAAAUAAUGGUUAGUAUAAUUGAUGGUAGCAUUGCAGCAUGCUUUGUUAACUGAUAGCAGGAAAAGGGGCAAUCUUUUUUUAGUGAGCGAAAUCUUUUGAAGUGUGGUGUUGCUUGUAUUGCAGCUGGAAUUAAUUUCACGUUCUUCGUUAAGGAGCUCUUUCAUUUCACAAGAAUUUUGGUGGUUAACUAAUUAUAAGUCUUGUAAAUCUUGGAAUUCUAGAAUACUGAUUCAUAGAUGACGCUCUGUCUUAAUACUUUAGCAUUGUCCACGAUCUCUUUGUUUUUCUAUUGUCUUACAAAGAGUCUUAUCAAAGAUGAUAGGUGGUUCAAUUAUGGAGACUGUGUUUUAAGGAAAUUAACCUAGGGCAAGUUUAGCAUGGCUAGAUGUGAUUUGGCAACUUCAGACUCUUAGAACCAACCUAGAGUUGGUGCUGAUAAGCUGGGUUACCGGUAGGAUUAUAUGCAGUUUGAUAAACCUGGCAAGAAAACAACCUAAGUUCAAGUAAACUUAACAGUACCAAAUUUUAUCACAGCAGGACAGACCCUGUGCUAAGGAAUCCCUUCAUAUAGCACAACCAUGCAUUACUGGAGAACCAAGGCUGUUAGUGGCAAAUGAAAGAUGUUUUAUCAAGUGUUUCUGUCGGGUUGUUUGGGAAGCUGUCUGGUUGGUGUUUUAUGUAUGUUAGUAUGUGGUGUAUGUUGAUGGCACACCAAUGGAAUAGGUUAUCAUGCUCUUAUGUGUGCAGCCAUACGUGUGGGUGGAUGUCUAUAGAUGAAGUUCAGUUUUAAAUUGUUCAGUGUAUUAAUUAUUUGAAGAGAAUAACUAAUGGUUUGUAUGCCGUGUAGAUGGACGACCUUUGCUGUUGGAUGAAAUUGAGAAGGAGCUUCCUGCCUGCUCUUCAAAGGAAUCGCCAGAGACAAAAUGGGCAUUCAUAACUCAAGAGGUAUGUUUUCCCUACCUUCGUUUAUCUCUUUACCUUGGUUGUCUCUUCCUUAUCAUGCUAAUGAAUUUUAAAUUGAUAAGAAUUAUUCUAAAUUCCUGUUAUAUUCUUUCUCAUUCUAUCUUACUCAAAAUACUGGGUUAUGUUCAAGAUGAUUAUCAUGCAUUUUACUUUAGAACGACCAAAGGAUAAAUAUUGUUAAGUAGAGAUCGUGGCAACCUUAUGAGGCUGAAUUCUACAUAGAACAAAAUUUUGCUUAAAAUCAGCUGUUUUUGUACAAGGGUAUCGUGCAGCAUCUUCACGUAGGUUAAUAUGAAGGUGAUUGUUGUGUGUAUUUUCAACUGUAGGAACAUCCAUACUUGAAAAGGCCAUGGUACAAAUUGCAUCCAUGUGGGACCAGUGAGUUUAUGAAGUUGCUUUUCCUUGGUGGUGAUACUGGUCAGCCUAAAUUGGAGGUGGUGCUGGAACUGUAUCUCCUGUCAUGGUUCUCAGCUGUUGGUCAAGUGGUUGGUCUUAGGAUCCCUUGUAAAAUGUUAAAUGACCGUCGAUAGUCCUGCCUUUUUUCUUUCCAGGUUCUACUGCCAUUGAAUUCAAUAGUCUUCGGUCAAUAAUUUUAGUUCUUUUUUUCUUUUGCAAAAGCACAUAGAACCUCCUCUUUUCCCAUGGCUUUCACUUUCAAGCUUCAACCAAAGUGUUGAACAGUUUGGGCACAUCACAACGCACAAUUGUUUUUUUUUUUUACUUUUGUUUGGCUAAAAGAAUUUUACAUCUUUCAGUAGCUUGGAAAUUGAAUAAUUACAUGUGAGUCUCUCAGUUCACAUUAUCGAGGGUAAAAAAAAAAAUAUAAAGAAGCUAGCAGAAGAUUGAUUUCACUUCUAAAUCCAUAUGACGACUGGAUGCAACCAUUCAAAGUAAGAUGACGACUCCCUGUUGUAAUGAAUCUGUCCUGCACAAAAUCGUCCAUGGCUUUACUCUUGCUGAAAGGUUCAUAGUGACCGUGGGGCACGAUGUCACAUAUGGAUAGAUACCUAGCUCAUACCUUGCAUGAUAAACUAUUCAGAACUUUUCCCUUAAGUCCGACUAAACCAAACGAGAAAUUCUGUAUUACCCUCAGCACCUUUUAGAGGAGACUCAAUCCACCCUUUGCUUUGAAAACCAAAGUUCUCUACACCCUUUAUAAUCUUUUCAAGAACCUGCAUGAUGAAACACAAUAAAUCUUAAAUUAGCUUUCUCAAGUAGUAGCUUUAGCCUAUCAUAUCAGAUGUUCAACAAAGUCUGUAUCUUGAUGAUGUUAUUUUUGCAUACCUCCUGAUGCACUUGGGGAUCUCUCACAAUCCCACCACUUCCAACCUGCAAAGGGGUUCAAAAAGAUUACUCGUACAAUUUACAGUUAGCCUAACGGAACCCUCACAUACAACUAUCACAAUUUUUUUGGUGCUCCUUCAAUUCUUAACUACAUUACAUCCAUAAUGGAGAAUGAAAAACAUACAUUUUAUAGGCAUGUGGUGUAUGUAUGUUCACUCCACAUGUAUAAAUAUAUUUCUUACUUGAGAUCUACGAGCUUCAAACUGAGGUUUAACCAGGGUAACCAGAGUUGCCUCUUCCUUCAUCGCAUUUACUACAGCGGGCAUGACCUGGUUAAGAAAGUAAAUAAAUAACUAAAGAUAUUGACAAAGUUAAGCAUAAAUGUUGUUCAGCAUGGGAUUGCUUUAAACAAGACUACCUGGCUAUAGAUAAUCACCAAUAAUAAUUCUGUUUCCUCCCUCUCUUUGACAUUCAAUAACAAUCAACUAAAAUAACAAAUAGCGUGGGCAGUGUACAGCUGUUUAAGGGCAGAGCAUUGUUUAAGACUAAGACGCCUUUUGAUGAAUCUAGGAAUUCAGAGGUCUAAAGAAACAGAACAGAAUCGUACGAAGAGACUGACUGAAAAUAACAGUAAAAAGUAAUGCAAGCAUGGUAACAAAGCAGUUUGGAAAUGUUUGACAAUGCUUACCAAGAGAAUAGAAAUAAAUGAAAGGUCCAGUGUCACCAAAUCAACUUUUUGAGGGAGACCAGAAAGGUAUCUUAAAUUUGUCCGUUCAAUCACACAAACACGUUCAUCUCGACGAAUCUUGUCUGCUACCUAUUCAAAAUUGAAAUCCACAUGCAAUCAAGAACCAUUAAAAACCCAAAACUGCACAUCCAUUUGAGACAGGGAACAUAUCAUUUAGUACAUUUUUCAAUCAGUGAAUAUAGGGGAUUGCUUCUAUAUAGAUAAAGCUUCACUAUUAAAAAAUGAAGGUAGAAAAGAAACUGCUCUUAGUAAUUAAUAAUGUCUUCCAGGAGAGCUUUUCUUGGAAAGAAGAAAGAAUAUCUUUGUCCUAAAAGCCAAGCCAUCAUUUUAUUAUUUAGGAAACUAUUACUCAGUAGUGCGAAAAUUAAUUACAUGUUCAUUCCAAAAACAGUGUCUCAAAAGUAAUUAAACCAAGCAUUUUGUCCACACUUUAAAAAUCAUAUCAGCUAGCUCUUGGGUUGUGUAAGCGGGACUCACUUGAAAUACCAGAGGUAAAGAAAAACAAAAAUAUACCAGUUGUUAUUUCUAUAGAAGAUGUUCUUACUUCCAUAGAGACGUUCUCACUUUCUAAUCUUUCCCCAUUAAAUGAGCUUCCUUGUGUGAGUUAACUUAAGCUGCUCUAUAAUUUCAGAACUUACCAUGAAAGCUUCUGUCAUUUACUUUCAUUUCUGCGAAUUUUAAUUCACAACCAUCAGAAUGCCAGCCAGAGAACAUUAUACUGUCAUACACAUGACAUACACCACCCAUAGCUAUGACCAAGUUGAUUUAGCCGACCAAAGUUCUCGUAUUCCUUGAUCAGUUUUAACAUAUUUUUCAUUUAAUCAUUUGAAAAAUGACAUAAACGUACUUCAUCUGCACAUAAUGUCUAUUCCAAAUUGUCAAAAUUUUACCUGCCCAUAACCUACAUCAACUCCAUAAACAUAUGAUGCACCAUACUGAAGUAGGCAAUCAGUAAAUCCUCCAGUGGACAACCCAGAAUCAAGGGCUACUUUGCCAGCCACAUCAACACCAAGCUGUUCAAUAGCAGCUUCUAACUUAUAUCCUGCUCUGGAUCAGCAAAGGAAACAUUCAAACCAACAUUAAACAUCUCAACAAUAUAAUUGUAGAAAAAUGCAAGAUGGGUGUUCAGAGAAUAUUCACCUACAUACAUAUUUAGGGAUUUCAGCCAUAAUUUCUACAACAGCCUUGUCAGAGACGGGUGUUCCAGCUUUGUUUACCAUCUUUCCAUUCACAUAAACUUUGCCUGCACCAUAGAUGUAAUAUAGAAAAAGAUAUGUCUCCAUGAUUUCUACGGUCGGUUCUUCAUUCAUGUAAUUUACAUUUCAAGAACUGGAAUAAAAAUUGCACCAAGUGUAUUAAAGUACAAGGAUGCAUGCAAUUGAAGAAUGUUACUUACCUUGCAAAAUCCAUGACUGUAUGAAUGUUCUACUAUACUGCUGAAACCUUUCAAGACAUAUCUCAUCCAGCCUUUUUUUCCUGACAAUGUCAUAAGAGUAAAGCACAAUAAGGUAUAAAGGAAAAAGAUACGGACAGGUUUCAAGGACCGAUAAAAGACUCAGACUAAGCUAGGGUAAGUUUGCAUCUUCUUCCAUUACCGAUAAAAAUCAAUUAGCAAUUAAUGGCAUCCCCAGAAUUUCACUGUUACAAUAUAUAUUACCAUGUAACAAAACUAUCUUUCAACAAAUAUGUAGUAGUCAUCAAUUGAGUGAUAUAGGCUUACUUUUUUGGUAUUUGAAGCUUUUCUGACUUGAUAACAGCAAAGCUUCUAUAGGGACUACGCAUAUGAGCUUUGACCGAAAUUACUGGAAACCGAAUCCCAACAACCAAAGUACCCGAGCAAAGCCAAAACCAAAAUAAAACCCAAUUCAUUUAGAACCCAAAAGAAAAGGUAAAGUAAAGAAAAAAACACCGAUAACAGAUUAAAUAAAAGAACAACCGCCCCUUUUCUUUUCUCUCAUUCCAUAUACAAUCAAAGUGUUUGUGAGAAUUACUGAAGAGAAUAACAAGAGAACCCAACUCGGUAACAAGCAUGAAGACGUCAAAUUUGAGUCCAACAGCAUAUUAAACUAAAAAAAAAUGCAAUGUAUGAAUCUAUUGAGAGAGAGAGAAUGGGUACCAUGAAAAGGAGAGUAAGAUUUCGAUAAGAGAAAUAAAGUGGAGCUACCGCUACCGCAGCAGCGUGAUAUAAAGGGAAGCUUCACAAUAUGCAGUGCCAUUUUCGGCUUCGUUUGGUUAUGUUUUUACAAAGGUUGUGCAGCUGAGCUCAGUUCGGUUCAAGAGGUGUCGCCUUAGGAAGCAGAUAAAGCCGUGGCGAUCAGUGUUAACGAAUUACCAAAUCUUAAAACGGAGACGACAGACGAAAAGGCCUAGCCAGAAGUCUUAAAAGGGCCGUGAGAUCUUCUGCCCAAGACUCAAAACCCAGCUUGUAUUUGGCAAGCAGGGCUUAAUAUAUCCUCUUUAGUCUUUUUCUAAUGGAGAGAUUAAUUGGUAAUUUUUAUGCACGUGGAAAAAUUGACAGAGACAAAUUUUGAAAAUUAAAAAAAUAAAUUUAUUGAAGAAUAAAAAAUUCUUGUUCUCAUCACGUCAAUUGACAUUUUCUUUUUUAUUUUGGUUAGGUCAACUUCAUGUACAUCCCAAGACAGAGGAUAUUGAAAAUUUUUUUUAAGAAAUUAUAAGAAAGGGUCAAUCUUAUAAAGUCAUUUCAAAAAGAGAAAAAUGUGAGAAAUAAAUUUUUUAUUAAUCAUCAAAAAAAAUUUAACUGUUUUUCGUUAUAUUUAGUAAUAAUUUGACAAAAAUAUCUUUGAACUAUUUCAUAUAAAUUAAACUAUUCAUUAUAAUUUCUCUUCAUUUAUGUUUCCGAUUUCUCUCUCUCAUUAUCAAACUCUUUUUAAUUUUAUUGAUUUCUCUCUUCAACAUUCGUCUGUUAUGCUCUCAAUUUCUUUCUCCCGCGCUUUCAAGACGCUAAGCGAUGAUUUUGAUGUGCUUAGGAUGAGUGGCUAUUUGGAGGAUUUGAUUUUUAAGUAUUUUGGAUGAAAUUAAAACGGUAGAAAUAAUCACGAAUGUUUAAAAUUGGAUUAAUUCGGGAUUUAGAUAUCAAUAAACUUAAAAUUUUUAAAUUUAUAAACCUAGAGUUUCAAAGGAAAAUUUUUUUAAUUUUUAGUCGAAAUCGGUAUUUUAGAUAAGAAAAUUUGUGUUUUGAUUUAUGAAAACAUGUUAGAAACACUUAAAUAAAAAUAAAUUAAAAGAGUUGAGAGGAUUUGAAAUUUUGUUCGUAGGUAAUAAAAUAUUUUAAGUAUUAAAGUGUAACAAAAUUUUUUUAAAUAUUACGUAUAACAAUAAUAUUUUUUCAACAUGGCGUGUAACAAUAACAUUUGUUUCAACAUAAAGUAUAACAUGUUUUUGUACAUGGCGUGUAAUAAUAAUAUUUUUUAACCAUGACGUGCAAUAUGUUUUAUUCAUGACGUGUAACAACAAUAUUUUUUUUUUCAACAUGACAUGUAACAACAUUUUUUAACCAUGACAUAUAACAUGCUUUUAUACAUUGCACAUAACACUAUUUUUUUUUUGUCAAACAUGGCGUAUAACAACCUUUUUAACCAUGAUAUGUAACAUAAUUUUGAACAUGAUGUGUAAUAAUAAUAUUUUGUUUCAAUAUAGCAUGUAACAACCUUUUUAACCAUGACGUGUAACAUAUUUCUGAACAUGACGUGUAAUAACAAUAUUUUUUUUCAACAUAGCAAACAACAACCUUUUUUAACCAUAUCGUAUAAUAUAUUUUUAUACAUGAUGUGUAACAAUAAUAUUUUUUCAACAUGGCAUGUAACAUCAUGUAAUGGUGUAUAAUAUCAUUAAAAGUAAUUUUGUCCAAUUUAGUUAAAAAUAGUUAAAAUUAUAAAAAGAGUUAUUUUUGAAAACAUCUUAUAUUUAAGGGUUAUUUUUUAAAAUACUCCUUUAAAAAAUAGCCUUUAAUAUAAAGUUAAUUGUUUUUACCCAAAUUUUGUUAUGAGUUGACAAAAAUUCCAUUGAAGUUAUUUUAGGCAAAUUAAAUCAUUUAUCAUAAUUUUUCCUCCUAAUUUCUCUCUCCGACAUUUGUCUGUUAUGCUCUCAAUUUCUCUCUUGUUAUCCAACUCUCUCUAAUUUUAUCAAUUUCUCUCUCCCACCAUCUAGCCGUCUCUAAUUUUACUGCCAUUGUUAUCUCUUUCUGUCUAUUUCUUACUCUAUCAUCAUUGAUUUACAAACCAAAAAGUAGAGAUGAUAUUAAUGUAUAUUCUUGGGUUUAUUUAUUUACAUUCACAAAAUCUCAAAAUUAAUGGGUUGAAGUUAUAUAACUGAAAUCUGUAAAUUAGAACAUUGUCCAAAAUUGUUACGCACCAUACCUACAUGGCGUGUAACAAAUUUAUUGAAUAUGGUAGGAUUUAAACAUGGCAUGCAACUUGAUUUUUAUUUUUGUAUUUCAUUAGAAUAUGAACUCUUUGAGUUAAACAUCUUAAACAUAACGUGUAAUAAUUUUUUUUUUCAAUAUAAUGUGUAAUAACUUUUUCUUUUCAAUAUGAUGUGCAACUUAAUCUCUUAUUUUGUAUUUCACUAGGAUAUAAACUGUUGAAGUUAAACACAAACAUGACGUGUAAUAAUUUUUUUUUAACAUGAUGUGUAAUAAUUUUUUUUUAACAUGAUGUGUAAUAAUUUUUUUUUAACAUCACUUGUAACUUGUUCUCUAUCUUUGUAUUUUACUAGGAAUGAGUGCUACAAUUUUUUUUUCCAACAUGACAUGUAACUUAGUCUUUAUAUUUGUAUUUCACUAAGAUAUAAACUCUUAAGGUUAAAUAUCUUAAACAUGGCAUGUAAUAAUAUUUUUUUUUCAACAUAGCAUGUAACAACAUAUUUUUGAACAUGACGUAACAAUAAUAUUUUUUAAACAUGACCUAUAACUUGAUCUCUAUUUUUAUAUUUUAGUAGGACAUUUACACCUUAAACAUAACGUGUACAAUUUUUUUUUUCAACAUGAUAUUUUCUGAGUUAGUCGUUUCAUCAGAGUUCUUGCAGUAGCUGCAUACCACCAAUACAUCUUUAGGGUUACAGCUAUCAAGGCUUUGGGAUCCCGAUCAACUAAAGAAAAAGAAACAAAAAACUUAUCAAAUAUCAAAAUGGCUUUGUCUCCACUUCUUCUUUUUUUUUUUUUCAUUUUUCAUUUGUGUGUGUGAGAGAAUAUUUAUGAUGAUGUCCCUUCUUUCUUCUUUUUCAUCUUUUCUUUUUUUAUAAUUUAAAUAUUUAUUAUUAGCUUUUGCAACUCUGUGUUAUUAUUUUUGAGUAAUGAUGGUGUUGAUUUUUUCUUUUCAAAAACUAAUAUGAGGAGAUUUCAUUAAGAGUAAUUUUAUCAUAAAAUAUUACUUUUGGCUAAAACGGUUAAAAUUAAAAAAAAGUUAUUUCAAAAACACCUCAUCUUUUAAGGACUAAAAAAAAUUUAUCUCAUUUUCUUUUGUAUGAUUAUUCAUUAUUUAAAGAGUUUUAUCAUUGGCCAAAUUUUAUAUUUUAUUUAACUUUUUUAACUGCAUAUAUAUUAAUGCCUUGCGACAGAGCCAAGUUUCGACUAAGGGGACCAACACACUUUAUGCUGCUAUCUAAUUAUUUUUUAAUCUUUUUAAAAGAAAAAAAAUUUUGUUGUAAGGCUUUUGCAUUUAAUAUAUUAUUGUAUUGAAGGUUGUUAAACCUUUGAUAUGUAAAAUAUUAUAAAUAAUAAUAGUGAAAAAUAGGGAAUAAAAUUGAAGGUACAAACUUAUAUAUGUGAAUAAACCAAAACGGUAUGAGAUCAGAUAAAUAAAACUGAAAGCAAGCGCUUAAGCUUAAGAUAAAAGACAAAGCAAAAGGAGCAUACAAGGAAAGACGAGAGAAAAAAAGAAAAUAGUAAAAUAUUAAAUUCAUUCAAUAAAUUCAGUAUAGAAUUUAGAAAAACCAAAAAGUUGAAUCAAAGAAUUUAUAAGGAUCAAGGGGUUGCAUGCCACAGCACGAGGCUUCACUAGCUGUAAAUGGGUAGCUAUUAUUCGGGUAUACGAGUACUCAGCCUAUUCGAUUAUUUGAAAAAUUUUGUUAAUAGUGAGUUUCAAACUUGUACCUUCUUUAUCUUGAAAACAAUUUUAAUCAUCGCAAUCAACUUCCUUUCUUAUAAAUUAACAAAUAUAAAUAUAAAUCUGUGUCAAAUACUUAGACACGUUUAUGUCAUAUAUGUUUUGUAUAUUAAAUUAAAGACGUGGUUAAAAUAUAAUGAUAUAUACAUCUAAUUUAAUUUGUAGUUUCAUAUAUUUGAGUCAAUAUGAAUUUGAAAAACAACAAGUACAUUGCUAAUAGUAAGAAGUUAAAAGGUGAAGCACGUAGAUAAUACAGAGGUGGGAUAAUACGCAAGUAAGCUUCAAACUUCACUUUUAAAAAAUGAAAACAUAUCCACUUUAGUACAAACAUUUUGGGUUCUUGUCAACAAGCACCAGGUUGGAUUACAAGACAUGUCUGCAAUAUUUGGUGUUAUGGAUAAGAGAUAAGAUUCCACACAUUCUCCCAUCCAAUCAACAAUAUGCAAAAUUAACACCUCAUCCUUCUCAGCCACAACUUUUCCUGCAAUUGAUGCCCUUGAGCCUACUCAGAAAAUCUCUUUUUCUCUGUCUAUCUCUGCUUGUAUUACAUAUUUCUACUUCCAGUUCCCCUUUCUGACUCUUCUAACAAAAUCAGUCAAUGGCUGCCACUGCUUCUCCAAUGGCGAGUCAGCUCAAGAGCAGCUUUACAUCUUCUGUUACAAGAGGCCUGGUAGUCCCCAGGGGCAUUUCUGGAGCCCCAUUCAGAGUAUCACCCGGCAAGAGGACUCCUUGCUUCUCUGUUAAAGCUGUCCAAGCAGACAAGGUAGGCGAGUGCCUUGUAGAUUUUCUUCUCAUGAUAGCGCUAGGCAAGUGAAUAAGUUUAUUGUGUUUCCUUCUCUUUGCAGCCAACAUAUCAAGUGAUUCAACCCAUCAACGGUGACCCCUUUAUUGGAAGCCUUGAGACUCCGAUUACAUCAAGCCCCUUGAUCGCUUGGUACCUGUCCAACCUCCCAGCCUACAGGACGGCUGUGAACCCACUCCUCAGGGGUAUCGAGGUGGGUCUGGCCCACGGCUUCCUCCUGGUCGGUCCAUUCGUUAUAACUGGCCCUCUAAGGAACACACCUGUUGCAGGUCAAGCUGGGUCCCUGGCAGCUGCUGGUCUUGUUGUGAUCCUCAGCAUUUGCUUGACAAUGUAUGGCACUGCAUCAUUCAAUGAAGG
RNAcentral lists this long non-coding RNA (25050 nucleotides) under Theobroma cacao (cacao). RNAcentral describes it as "long non-coding RNA (TCAC_LNC000228)". Lineage: Eukaryota; Viridiplantae; Streptophyta; Magnoliopsida; Malvales; Malvaceae. The record is from RNAcentral.